Molecule: RNA transcript, 25856 nt
Organism: Synchiropus splendidus (mandarinfish)
Lineage: Eukaryota; Metazoa; Chordata; Actinopteri; Syngnathiformes; Callionymidae
Exons: 3
Source: RefSeq, a predicted model, not a curated record
GUCACUGUCAACACGGAGGACAGCAGCCGCGCGUGACACGGAUGAAGCCGAUCAAAGGCUUUCGGUGGGGCGUGCGCGCGCGCGCUAAUCCCGUCCUCGCGCCUCCCGCCACUUUCCAGGCAAUUUUAACUCAAUAAAGCCACGGCACGACACGACGCGCACUUGCGCGGCUCUGUGGAGCGUCUUCCCUCGCUCGACACCCGUCACGCCACCGGUUUCUCAUCCCGCUCUGGAGCGUUGAGGACGGACGGGACGAGCCGCUCGCUUUCGGUGAGUCAACAACUUUCAUUUCCGGGUGCGUUUGACCCUCGGUGUCCUCUUGAAAACACGCUAGCCCUGGGACAUACAACAGACUUCUCACCGACCAACUCGGCGACAUCACGCUCACUGGCGUUCACACCAACCUCCGGUGUAUUUGCUCCAAAUAAACACUUCCGUCGCGGUUUCACGUUUAAAGAGCCAAUCUGUCAACUUUCCAGCUUCCUUGCACUCGAUGACCCUGCUCGCGUGUCACGUGAUACCUUGUUUACAGUCGCUUCGAAUUAGAAAAAAUGCAUAACAUGCGCCAUAAUUCCACAUAGACUCGACAACUAUGUGAUGUAAUAAUGAAUUGCUACAAUAUAAACCCAGUGCAUUAUUGUAUUUUUUUAUGUCUUCAACCUGUGUCGACUGAACCGUCAUUUAUGACGUCAUAAUGUAUAGAAAGUGGAGCAUUGGUUGGUCCUUCUGACUGGAAAUGGAGCGCUAAAAUUAAAUGUUAUGUAACAUAUAUGUGACGCACGUCUUACAAUUUCUCCCAGGUUUUUAGAAGCUGAGACGCAAUGACCCAAAUCAUUCAGCCGUAUUGGUAAUUCCAAACUGUGUCAAAUCUGGUGUGUCCAGCUUCAUGCGCAGCUCACAUACGGCACGGUGCCGCAGUGUCGUCCGUUUGGCCAACGUGACGGCGCCUGUCCCUCGUAGUGCAAAGCCCCGGCUGCCUUCUUUCCCAUACACCUAGACGUUUGUGGAAAUCAAACUGCUCUGGGUCAAGGCAUGUUUGUCAAACUCAAGGCCGGGGGACUGAAUCCUACGCAGCGAGUCGUUCUUUUCGGCCCACAUGAGCUAUAAAUACCUUCUUUAAAAUGUCGGCCCCUUGUGGGACUGAGCCUAUCGCAGGUACGUGAAUGUGAAAGUCAGGGACAUCCUGGAAAGGUAACACACGCCAUAGCCUCUGUACAUGUUUGGACAGUGGGAUGAAACCGGAGUGCUGCUCCUAAGCACAUAAGUAUUCAAGACUAAAUAUGUGGAUGCAUUUUUUUUCCUUUAAUAAAUAAUCUUUAAAAGAAUGUUAACACUAAAUGAAUAAAGAUGCAAAAUAAGAUGCACAAGAGGAGCUGUUGUCAAAUUGUAUAGAAAUUCUUUGUGUUUAGGAGCUUGGUCUAACGUGUUGAUGAUGUCAGUAUUAAGUUCAAAGAGCAACACAUAAAGUUACUUUGUUUUUCAGCGUCUUGUCUGGAUGUUAAAGAAUUUUUAUGAGGCGUCUUUCUUUUUUCACUCUUAUUUAAUAACUCUUUAAUCUGAAGUCGCAGCAGAAGAUCUCUAUCUGUCUAUCUAUAUAUAAAAAAGCGUUAAUUUAAGUAGUUAUUUGUCUCGCCGGUGAGUAAAAUAUCUUAUUCCAUUUUUAAAUUUUUUUCAUGAGAGCACUUUGACAUGAGUAUCUGAUCUUCUGUCAGGUUGUGACGUCGUAUGACUGUAUGUGUUACCAUUGAUCUCGGGAUGUUGUCUAGCAGAUGUCCGACCAACUGUUGUAGCGAAAACCUCCAGCUAUUGUGAUGCAGGUUUGUCACUCUCUGUAUUGAUCUGUUCAACUGAAAUGGUGUGUUUAAAUCAGGGACUCUAGCAAUUCAAUUUAUGCAUAUUAAAAAAUAAAAUCUUCAUUCCAAAUUCAAGAAUAAAACCUAUUUCCUGACAAAACGAAAAUGAAAACCAUUUAUACUUUUUUAAUGUUCUCUUUUUGGCCAUCUGAUCGGUAAACAAGCUACUUUGCUGCUUAUUAUACCGCAGGAUUUAUUAAUUUUAGGUAGAAAUAUCCUGUCCUAUAUAAACAGUGGGAGUGAAAGUUUUGACCAUAUUAUGUAUUUCUGAGAAAGAAAAUUCAUGAACCUUGUCGUAAUUAUUGGAAUUUCACCCACGAGUAAAUUAAAAACGCUUGAAUGAUUGCUGUUUUUCUGUCGGUGCUGAACUUGUUUUGAAUGUCAAUCAUGCUGCCUCCUUGAGAAUCUCUAUUGAAAGUAAUGCAUUUGCUACGUUUAGGAACUGAAUUACAGGUUUGCUGCUGAAUUCUGUCUCGCAAACCUUAAUGGGCUGAAUUCACGCAGCGCACGAGGGAACAAGGCCGCUCUAUCACACGAGAAUGCCAGUGAGAGCAGAGAGAGGCAGCCUUAACUUGGUUAGGUAUUCGGCCAGAUUGACAACAAGAUUUAGAGAACAGAAAACAAUAGGGCGAAAAGUAAUGUUUGCAACUCACUUUCCCCUCCUUUUGAAAAGCCAUUGUCAUUUUUGGACCAACAACACGGUGUACAAUUUAUCUCCAAGUAUCUGAGCUGUCGUUCUAAAAUCAUUUAUUUUGAAUAUGGCUCUAUCAGACCAGGGAUCUUAUUCCUCCGCAAACCUUCUCUGUUUGUUUUAUUUCAUCCACUGGUUUUGCUUUUUCUUGACAAGAAAGGUAGUGUUCGAUUUCUAAAGACCAAGCUGUGAUGACAGCCUCUUUGGAUGUUACUGUUUAUUCAAAAAAUCUGUUUUCAUUUAUCGCCGCUGAAAAAGAGAAAACAUUUGUCAGCACAUGUUAAAGGAAAACAAUGGCCCGGUCUCCUUUUGGAAAUCAAACCAUUUAUUUUGCAACUGUCAGGGUUCGUGCACUCAUGGCCCUCUGUGACAGGCAGGGCAUUCUAAAACACAAUCCCCACUCCAUGUCAGCGGCACUUCUUGAAGGAAAUGUGCGAUGAUUUUGAUCCGAUCUGAAGUGGAUAUGGGCGUCACACACUGUCCCGGGGUGAAGAUCGGGAUGUUGGUCAUAGCACUGGUCAAGUCCCAAAUACCUGAAGAUUAUGUUGGGUUUCUCUGUUGUGCUUAUAGUUGGUUGUCAUCUUUAGAGUUAAAGUGAAAAUUGGAUUGGACAUAGUGGCGUCAAAAUGAGCUGUGAAAGAAAAAAAAAAAAGAGUUCAUGACACAAAGGUUGACUGAGAAGGCAGAAAAAGAGUGGCGUUGAAAUAGAAAAUUUAAAAAGAAAUUGAAUAAAGGCCAAUAAGAAAAAGUAGACUGCAGUGAUGACUUUCUGACAAACAGUAAGUGUCAAAAGAGUCGAAAGUUGUCUGCCGAAAAAAACUGAUUAAAACAAAAACAUGGAUAAAUAUUUAAUUUAAAACCGUCAGCUACAAAAAGUUAAAAAUGGGAAUAAAAGAAUAUUUGAUGAAAAGGUUGUCAAAAUCUUUUCAAAGAUAAGUCACAAAAACUGAACCAUGGGUUGAAAACUGAGCAUUCUCAGACAGUGAAUGUCGGGUGUAAAGGUGAGUGCAGAAAAAAUGAUAAAAAGAAAGUUGAUGGUUGAUUUAAAAAGUGAAACUCAUACAUGGCAAAAAGGAAUAAUGCGUUUUAAAAAUGAAAGAUUGAUGUAGAAAAAAACCUGACUGUGUAGAAGGAAGGAAGUUGUUUGCAAGAAUUUCAUUAAUAAAAGUGAAUAAAUAUUUAACAGAAAAUAAAAGAUAAUUCCAUUCGUGACUACUAAACUACAACAAUUAGUUCUUGAGAAAUUAUGGAGACAGAAUCAAUUGAUCCUUUUUUUCCAAAAUAUUUUUGUAAUUCAGACUUUUUUAAAUUAAAAAAUAAUAAAUUAUACAUAUUAUAAAUAAAUAAAUUAUUAUAUUAUAAAUUAUUAUAAAUAAAUAAUAAAUUAAUAAACAGGAUUCAUUCAGGAACCUUGUGCUGACCGAAGGUUAAAAUGACCACGUUAGAAAAAAAUGCGUCCAAGAUGGAUGAGAGGCUGUUGUCUUAGAACAACGGUCUUCAGAACCUUUAAAGAAAAGAGUCAGCAUCUCUGAGUGUGUGCUCGGUGUGUGCACUCGCCUCCCCUCUCCUUCUCUGUAAAACGCAGCGCACACCGAGUUCAUCUGAGGACAAGGAAGUGCUCUCCUUUCCAGCGUGAAUCAUGUUGGAAAAAUGAGCCUCUGGACUGACUCGCCGCUCCAAUUUGGCACGUUUCACCAAACUGCUUUAUUGUCUAUUUUGGCUGAACUUGCGCUUCUUCAUGACAUGGCCAAGAAAGCUUCAGGUCCUCUGCAACAGGCACAGCAGCUUUCCGAUUCAACUGCGGCCUGUAAGCAAAUAAAGUUUUGCAGCUGAUUUCCUGGUGAAGAGGAGAUCUGAUGGAGAAGUCACUUAUUCAGAUUUUUAUUCAGCACGCAAAUAAAAGCACCAUUAGAUUUUUUUUGAACUUUUAUUCCUCUAACACUGAAGGAUUCUGAAGACUGUGUAUCAUCUGUUCGUUCUCGACUCAGAUGAAAAUGUGAAAAUGAUGACCUUUAGUUUGUGGGUUCUGAACAACUAUAAAUUGGUUAACAAGUAUUUUUUCAUUUUACGAGGAAUUCAAAAGAUAUGAGGACAUAGCUCCUUUGGCUCUGACGCUGUGCUGGCGACGUCAAGAUGCUUUGCAAGUGCAGCAAAUAAAGCAUGGUACCGGAAACACAGACUUUUGUCACAAUCCGAGAUUGAGCUGAGUCUGAAGACCGGUCCGAUGAUGACGUCAUUGCUCAGCUCUCACUUCAUCCACUAGUUCCUUCCAUGACUACUGAAACAGAUGGCCGAAACGGACUUCCUCAUUUUUGGACAGAUGUUCUGUGUUCCGGCCUUCUUUGGGCGUUUCCCACCCGGGGUUGCUAUGCCAAGUUGGUCUCCUGCACCUCGACCCAGCUUGGUCAUUCUUCCUCGUCAUCCAAAACACAUCCGUGACCUCACUGGUUAUAUUCCUCUUCUCCUUUUCCCGUGUGUUAUCACCAUAAGAACUACCAAUUUUUGACCUUGAAUCAUGCCUAUACAUCUGUCACGCCAACCCUUGGCACUUGCUUUAACUUGAUCAUUUUCACACGCUGACCACCAGAUGACAGCAGUGGUAUCGUAAAACAGCUCUGGUGUGUGUUAGCGUAGACCUGUUCAGAGCUUGUAAACGGUAAUGACGUUGGGGAUGGGACUGAUCCGGUAUUGGUAUCAGGCUCGGAUACCAAUGUUUUUGUCGGAUUAGCCCUUCCUAAUAAAUGCAAAGGUACAGUGUCUAGCAAACUGAGUUCUAGUAUCAGAUCAGAGGAAUAUCGGUAUCGGCAGAUAUCCAAAUUCUGGUAUCUGAUUCGGAUGGAAAGUAAAAAAAUGUGGAUUGGUGCAUCCCUAGAUGUGUACACAUUUUGGCAACAGACAUAAGGCACAAAUGUUUGAAGCUACGUGAAAGGGCUACGUACAAAUCAUCUCAAAUUUUAUCUGAGGUCGCGUGUGACUUAGGGCUUGGACAAUUCGCAAUUGUCCCGAAUUUCUUCAAAAUGUACAUCAAGGAUUCCACUUGUUCGAAGUGGUUACCGUGGUUGUAUUGGUGUAUUUAUAAAGAGUAUUAUUCACUCUGUAUAUACAAAGCAGUUUAUGUGUAAUAACAAGGUGCCAGAGAACCUUCUGACAGUAAAAUCAUUGGGGCUAAAUUGCUUCAACGAUUGAGAGACUGCGCUAUCACAGACCUCUGCUCAGAUGCUUGCUGUGCAUUUGACAAUAGAAAAAAAAAAAAAAUAAAUAAAGUAUGUGAUUUUGAAUGGCAUCUCCGGCAAGCAUGAGACGUUAACCCAGUAAUAGAUGUGACGUCUCAUCAAAAUGUGAAGAAAAUUAAAGGUUCUGAGGAGAAAUAUUGAUAUUUAAUUUUGUCGCUAUAUAUUUGUUAGUCCAUUAUUUUUCCCCCUCUGGUAUUUGUCACGUAUCCUUUUUCCACUACAAUGUUUUUAAACUGGAAGGACAUCAACAUGUGCCUGUGACCCCUCCUGUGUUUGGCUUACCGUCUUUCCUGACUUAGUGGCGCAUCACAGUGGCUGUCACACUUACGGAACCUUACGUUACAAUACAGCUUGGGGUCUGUGUUCCAUUACAAACAUGUUGCAACUCUGACCAGUCAGUUUGUACCAUCUAACUUACCGUCCCUCGUCUUCGCCCGUUCCUAUUUCCUAUUUGCACAAAGUUACUUUAUAGUUAUGGCUUCGACCUCAACCACACACAUCAAGGUUUUGGACAUUGAUGGAUGAAGAUUGUUUUCUGACCUACACACUCAUAUAUUACACUAGCAUUUUUUCCAAUUUUGUAACCUGCGUUUCUUGACAAACUCGUGUAUUAUCAUUACAAAUGUCAUCUAAAUAUUUGUAUUCUUUCCUCCUGACAUUGGUGUCACAUUAGCAGAAAGUGCAGCCGUGCAUCUCAAAAUGGGUAUUGCUAAAAUGAACGACUGAUCUGUGCUCGUGCAUUAAGCGUCUUGAAAUGCAGGUUUGAUAUUUAAUAGAUCACAAAAACACAUGGUAAAGCGUUGAAAGUGUUGCUCUAUUGUUGAAGACAAAAGGCGUCUUGGAUCAAAGUUUUAAUUUGGGAGGCAGCCGGACACAAAAUGAGCCAGUCCCUCGGCCCCACAGCGCAGAGACGCUGAGGGAUUGGCCAGUGCUUGGAGAAGCCAGCAGUGGGCUGGGACUCUGUGUCCUCCAGUCUAAAUAAUGACUGCUGCUCCUAGAAGCCAGAAUCAUUUUAAUGACUGAUUGUCUGCUGGCGUCCCUCCUGUUUGCUGUGGAGGUAGAGUACUGGUGGAAGGAGGAGGUCCAUUUCUCAUUGGCCCUCCACUCUUUUCUUUUCCAUGAAAACAGCUGGGCGUUGUUCUGUGAUUGGCCGUGGAGGAAUCAGACGUUUCAAGUUGAUUGGUGAGGAAGAGCUGGUGGGAAGUUGGAUACAGGUGAUGUUACAUUGAAGUGAGGCGGCAGCCUAUCCCUGCCAUUUGGCACUGUGUUCUCAGCCACACUGCUGUGUUUGACUCUGAGUCACAUGGUAACAGUGUUGUCUUGUAUGUUGUUGGGGAGAAAAUGGUCUCCAACCAAAGUAGUUUUCCAGUAUCAACCUGUUGGCUUCUUUAUUAACAGAAUCUCUCAAGAGCAUGUCGACCUACUCUGGGCUGGGCGGUACAAUCGGAACACCCUUGUGAACCGGGUCUUUAUAAUGUCUCAAACAUUUUAUGAGGGAGACAAGAUCAACGUCUAUCAUUGUGGGUUGUGAAGCCUUCUUAAAUAGUGGGGCGAGGCGAUACCAGUGGGGGCUCUUUUUUUUGCCGUACACACGCAGUCUACGGAUCGGUUUAUAGAAAAAGCUGUGUUCGCGUCAUGGCUCUGUGACGUGUCUAUUUGCCAGCGUCUGGAGCCGAGCAACAUUGAAGCUGCCCUUUAGAGCAGAAUCAGACGGGGCCGCGGAACAACGCAGUUUUAAGUGAUCACAGAAAGUCCAAUGAAAACUUUCAGGUCAGCACGCAACCUGUAUGUAUGGAGGCGCAAAACAUUUUCUGCCUUUUUGGGGGGGUUUCUAUCUGAAUAAUCUAAGUGAAAAACAAGCUCACGGCAGAGCUUUCAGACUUUCCGUGGCUAGUAUCCCAAAACAAGCAGCCUGGGCUUCUUUUCCUGACUGCUGCCCCCAUGACCCAGCCUCACACGACUGUGUGAAAACAACUUGAAAAAGUAAAGUAGAAAAAGUGAAGUAAAACAAUGUCAGCACUUGGAGCUACAAUAAUGGUGACUUCAUUUAAAUAUGAUUAUUCGACUUCAUAUAUCUAAUGUUUUGGCUCUCCGUAGUUUGGAGAAAAUAAUUUUUAACGAAUGACUUAGUUAAAGAGAUGGCUGAAUAAAUCACGUCAAGAAAAACAAAAGCAAAAUGGUGUCAUUUUGUAUAUUAUGACACAGACUUUUGUACAGGUUAGACCUCUCCGAAUUGACGCCUGAGAGGUGUAACCUGUAAGUUUAUUUAUUUUGUGUAUAAGUGCCAGUUACAAAAAUUGAUUAUUAAUGAAUCUCUCACACACUUUUCUCAUACGUGAAUGUUCACUGCAGUUAGCUUUUUUUUUACAGUAUUGUGAAUAAGGAUAUUUUUGCAAUAUUUGAGAUUAAAUAUUAAUCGUGUGGGUUUCAUGUUUUAACAUGAGUUGUUCUUCAUGAAUUGUUCUUUUGUGAGUGGUCAGGACACAUUGUUGAAUCUAUCAUUAAAGGGAAUACUGUAUCCUUCAUAUUGGAACGUGGAAUCUCACAAAUCUUUGCUGAUAUCCUCCACGGACCCUUCGGUGCUUGUGAGAGCCGACGUAGCAAGACUGUGUCGGGGGAGCGAGUUUUAAUUGGCCAUUUGUAUGUCAGAACUCUGAGGUGUGAUAUGUGUGUUAAGUGGGAGCUGGUUUGUGUUGGUCUGCCCAGCUUUGUCCAGCGCUUUGGCUUUUGUUCCUCCAGUAAUGAAUUGUGGAAGCCUUGGCUUCAGCCGGAGUGUCUCAUAGCAACUGACGAGAGACGGGGAGAGUUGGUGAAUGGAGAAAAGGCCAAGGGGAGAUCAUGUGUUGCUCUCAGAAAGGGCGAGACAGACAACCAUCGCUUGGCUGUUUUGGCAGAAUGGAAUUAUCAACUCUGUAGCCAACACCAUGAUGUAUCGUCUCAAAUAUUAAAAGGCUUCAUGUAGCUUUUUGAAGGCCACAAACAGAGAGUAGGAGCGGAAAAUAAUGAACCCUUAACUACAGGUGCAUCAAAUAACCGCUUUGUUGAAACCUACCGAUGAAAUUUAAUAGAAGGAAUAAUUCAUUUCUAGGUUGAAUAAAAACUAGCGAUUAGGAAAUUAAUGUUUUAGUGUCUGAAAGUGACCCACAAAAUGUGAUAAUUAUUAAAACAAGACUACUUUGGAAAUGGAUGAAAAUCAUUCUUCCAGUAUAAGCAACGUUGUUUCAUACUAUAAGUGGGCGGCUUUAAAUUUUGUUCAAUGAACUCUUAUUUUGCACCCAAUAAAUAGGUCUCAAGUCAACUACAAUGAGAUCAUUUUUGUAGAUCAUUUGAAAAUAUUUGACAUGACAGACCAUACAUAUUGAAACAUGUUGCCUUAGAUAAUGUUCUGAAAAGACUACUACUUGACUACUGUUCUUAAGCACAACUCAGAGAUUUACUUUUUGGGAUUCCAGAUUGUCCUUGUGACGAUGAGCACUGGUGAAUUUCAUUCUGAGUGGGUCAUAUGGUACUUACUUCCUAAGUUUACAAAGUUUAUAGAAGUCGAUAAAGAGAAAGAAGUCGGUAAAGAUGUGAGUGUCCUGUUGCAGUGUUUGGGUUUUCCUCCUUGCGAAGGGUUGUUGACGUCCAUCCUGAGCAGUUUUUUAUUAACGGAUGACCAGCGUGGAGCCUCGGCCAUGUUUGCACUGUGACCCAGACACCACCUGUCUGCUGCCAUGGUUACAAGGUCGAGGCAGGUUUUAGUGGCCCGACUCCAGGGAUUACUUUCCCGGGUCUUGACAAUCUGGCCCGUGCUCCAGUGACUAUAAAAUGGACCCAACUGGACCCGUUGCGGGAGCUUCACAGCGUGCCCAUGUGGCCUUUAAAACGACCCUAAGUGCAGUGUAAGGGAUUAGACCUUCUUGUGGUAAUUGCCCCGGUGUCAGUGACCGUCCCAGUGUGACCUGGUUUACUUGUAAUGAUGAGGGUCCAAAAUUAAAGUCCUUGCUGUGCAAUAUGCCGACAGGCUGGAUGAGGUUUCGUUGAAACAUGUCGUGUUACUGUCAAACUAAUUGCAUGGUCAAGAUAAUAACUUUUGGGACGUUAUUUAACAUAAAUAGUUUAGAAAUACUUUUCAAGGAAAUAAUUUCUCAUUUAUUAUUCAUUCAAAAGAAGUGCGUUGUUUGUGCAGAUUAGUAGCCAUUUUCAUGAAAUAUUCAGUAUUUCCCAAAUAGCAAUAUCUGCAUGAACUGAGGCCAGACCCAUUUUUUUGUACCUCAAUAUGCAGGAUGUGACUCCGGAGUGUGAUACGUGGUUUAAUAGGGCCAGAGUCCUACCUAGCAAGUCUCAACAACAAAGAAGUUGUCUGUCUUCGCUUUGUCAUCUCCUAACUUUUCUACUUUUCAUACUUGAAUUUUUUUAAAUUAGAAUGCCACCCUCCAUUGCCUGAAUAGACUUAAAACAUUUCCAGUUGUUAUUUGCGUGGAUGCAUAAAAAUAUAUAAAUUGAGAAGAAAAGAAGAAAUGCUAGUCAGUGCCAGCAACAAUAGUAACAAGCAUAAUGCAGCUUUGAACUCAGGACUUGGAAUUGCCACAUCUAAUAAAGACGGUUUAAUCUAAUCUUAGACAAGACCUUGGGAAAGAGCGGCCCGGGGACCACAUGCGGCCCUUUGCCUGUAUUUUUGCGGCACUUUUGUGGUCAGAUUACAUCUAUACAAUUGAUCUGUCGUACUUUUUCUUCUUUCUUUGUUUUUUUUGCUUCUUUUUUAGCCAUUACGAGACAAAAUCAUUCAUUUUUGUAUGUAUUUCUUGUCCCUCAAAAGCAUUGAAAAUUAUGAUUGAAAUGAAAAUACAUUUUGUAAUAAAUUAACUGUUUAGCUUUCUUAAAUGUUUGGUCAAUAGUUUUAUUUGGAUUUAUAUUCAAGUAAAUCGAUAUAUUUUUACAUGUUUCAUGGCAUAUUACACUUCUGAAUGUCCUCACUUACAUUUAAUCUUUUUGAGUCAAUUUUUGCUAUGUAACUUAAGUGUGUAUUUUGGAUAUUUCUCCGUCCUGUUUUAUAGUCAUUACCGUCUUUUUCAUGGCCCGAUGGCCCCUCGCAACAGUCACAGUUAAUAAUGUAGCCCUUUAGCCCUGUCAUGGAGAGGUUUUAUCCUCUCUGUACCUUUAGUCCUCUCAACUCCAUGGACCUUGGAUAUCUAUUCACUUCUCUUGUGUUAAUCAUAUAGGAUGUUGUGUCAGAUUGCCCAUGAUUUUUUUUGUCACUUUGUUGACAUGAAAUGGAUUUUUAUUAUUUUUAUUUCCUUUUUUUCAUAGAUUACUGACGAGGAUGUGGAGGAGCAGAAAUGAUCUUGAUCCAGACGCCGUGUGUCCCAGCAUGGCGCCCACUGCGUCUGCGCAACAGCGGAGGAGUGGAUUUCUGUGUCAUUCCUCCUCCUCCCACAUUUCUCCACCCUCCCUCCUGCUCUCUCUCUCUCUCUCUCUCUCUCUCUCCUUCUGUGUCUCCAUCUCUCACUCCUCUGCCCUCCCUUCCUUCCUCCCUCCCACUACAAAUACGGUCCCUCAAAUGAAAAAGUGGCCGGUUGGCGCGCUGUUCUUGCAUUUCAUCAGCAGUCCAACUCUCCUCUCUCUCACUCCCUCACUCCCUCACUCUUUCUCUCCACGUUUCGCCUUCUCUUCUGCCGCAGCCACACGCACAAGGGGAGACUCCAGCUCUGCGAGGGGAGGAAAGAGAGAGGAAAAGAAAAAGUCUGCUGCUGCUAUUUCGACCGUGCGGGCCUCCCCAUAGCCCGCCCUUCCAGAGCGUUUUUUUUUUUUUUUUCACACACACUCACACACACUCGCUGGAUUUUAACCCUCUGCCUCCAACUCCAGCUCUGCAAAACCUGGCAACAAGUUUCCAGCUCGGAUUUCCACUUUUUCGACAAGUUUCCUGUCAUAUUUGUUUUCAUUCUCGCCCCGGCUGGAUGAGAAAUUGGACCUUUUUUGGCGGGGGGGGUUAUGAGCACUCGCCGACUUCAUCAGCAUUCUGCGCCUCCUUCACCGGGUCUCUUUUCUCUGGGACAGGUGCCAAACGUGGACAAAAGAUGUUAAAAAAGCCCAAAGGAGACCCAAAUAUGGUCCUCAGAAAUGGGUUUUCUUGCAGUGAAAUGGCCACUUUGGCGUUCGUCCGAGGGCCGCUGUCGCACCUUGACUAGUUUGGAACUUAUUUUCGAGUAAAGGCAUCUGAUUGUAGUCGGAGAUGUGGGAGAGGAACAUAUAGAGUACUGAAUUAUUCAUGUCUCCACGGCCGUGACUGGACUGCUUGUGCUGUUUUCGCAUGAGACCAACUGUUUGUGUGUUUGCUAACAUUCAGACGAGCUCACAGACAGACAGACAGACAGCCAGACAGACAGCCUCAUGGCCUCCUAUUGUUUCAGGCCUCGCCGGCCCCUGGAUUCUGCCGGCGAACUUGAACUUGGACUCUGACCGGAGAAGGGUGCGAGUCUGGAGCAGAAUGGGAGGCUCGGCCCUCCGAGGGGAAACUCCAGCAGCUCUUGCCUCCAGAAGUGGGAAAGAUGCAGACUUCUGCAUCCCGAUCGGAGUUCCGCCGCCGUCGCCCUGCAGAUAUAUUGGUACGGCCUUCUUAUUUCCUCCUCCACUUCUUACCGAUGCUCGCAUCCUUGAAGAAUAAGUGUGGAAUACUCUCGGUGACCAUUUUGAUUCGAAAAAUUUCGCUCAGUGGUUUGCGUUUCCGCGUCGAGACUUCGCCGGCGGAAUCAGAAAUGCUCAAAUAUCCAAACUUAAAUUAGUAGGAACAACUUUUCGACAACUUUCUUUCAUGUUUGGGCAAAAUUUGUGAGGAUCCGGGCCGCAGCAACAUGCAUCCACUUACAGGCAAGGGUGAACCCGGUUUGUGGUUUGGAACCAGAAGGCCUAGGAUGAUUCAGAGGGCUUCGUAGGGGACGCAAGCUGCGUCGAACUAUCAUUCUGAAUAUAAAUGUUAACCCUUUACGCAAAGGAAAGCGCUAGACUUUAUUUUUUUCAAGAAAAUUAUGUACAAUAUGGAGCACUUUUCUACGAUUUGCUGAGUGUGCCCUUACGUAAGGUAUAGACCGACCCCUGAUCUGAUCUAAAUUUACUUGUUGAGAUAUACAUUUGUGUAUUAACUCACAGUUUAUGUUGGACAGAAACGUCUUCUCAUUUUGCAAGGACUUGAGCAUUUUACUAACUUUUCGAAGGGUAUCAUUGCGGAAAUCUGUGCCUUGUGUUCAUCAAUCUGUGUUCUUAUCCUGCUGUAAACUGGAUUUGCUUUUCUUGGUUGGUGUGCCGUACGAAAAUGAAAAAAUCAAAUGAAGCGGUUCACUUGUUCACACACUUUUGGAAAUAUAUAUUUGUUUUUUGCUUUACACAGAACAUUUCUUUCAGGCAACAUUUCUCAAAUAAUCUUCCGUAAUCCACUUCUACAGUUUUAAAAACUACAGCAGUUCUAUGCGUUCUGCAGAGAUUGCGGUUUAAGAAUAGUAUUUAAAAAGCGAAAAUACAGUUAAUAUGUAUUCCUCAAAUUGACUUUUGUGGAUCAACUUCAAGCGUCUUGAGGGCUUUCUUCUUUUAACGUUUCUUUGGUGAAGAAAAUCAGUUUGUUCUUGAUGUUUAAACGAGAUUGGGGAAAAAAAAAACAUUUUAAAUAAUACUUCUCAAUCUGCUUGCAUAUUGACAUCUGAAAUACAUAGUAAUAUUCAUAACUUUUCCCUGUGAUAAAACAUUUUUAAGCAAAUUCAGAAAAUGCAUAUUUUUGAGUCAAACUAAUAAUUUCCAAAGCUCCGUAAUCAAAAUCUAAUUUAUUUAUGAAAGCGCUUUUUAAAAAAUGCAACUGACAAUCAAAUCGCUGCAAUGAGAUAAAUGUGUUGAACUGAAAUAGUUCUUGUAACCAAAUUGCGUUUGAGGUAUCUGGUGAUUUAAAGAUGCAAAAAAAAAUAGGUUAAACGUAUUUUUUGGUCGAACUAAACUUUAAAAAUGAAGAACAAUGCAAUGAAAUAACAGAGCUUUACACUGUUUUUAAGUAUCAGGAAGCCAUAUUUCAUUGCUGACCUAAUUUUAAAGAAAUAUCUUUCCAACUCAUUAGAUCAAUACGUGUUUAAAUAAUUCCAUUUUAUAGUUUCCCAAACAAUGCGCGCGUGCUGUUUUGAAACGAAGACUUGUUGUUUUUCAAACUCUGUGGUGAAAACAGUUGUCGAUUGUUAGUGUGCGGACACACUUGUAAUUGUGUGUGCAUAAAUAUAUCCGUGUCUGUGGGUAAAUGUGUGUAAAUAACCUACAUGAGAAUAAUAUUUGUGCAUCAAUCUUCACUGCUGUGGACUCAGUGGUCUGUCAUGGUUGUGGCUGCUCCCACACUCCUCUGCCCCUCGGGCCUUGGUGGCUGGGGUCCCAGGAAACCAUUUUGGUGGGCCGAUGGUGGGCUGUUGGUGGGACAGCUUCAGCUGGUGGUUCCGGGGAAAAAAUGAAUCCGGACUAGUCGUGUUAGAUGAAGCCCACGAUCACACGUUUCUGUGUUCUGAAGCGGCCAUGAUGCAGUGUUGCAGCACAAGGACACACACACUCCCUCGCACACACACACACAUACAUUGACAUUCAUAACCCAACACAGUUGAGGUGUCUCCUUAAUUAAUUUAGCAUAAACAUUAAAUACUUAAAUCUGUUAUGUUUUAUUUGUACUUGCAGCCGUCAUAUAUUUCCGUGUGUGAAAGUGUGUGUGUGUGUGUGUGUGUGAGUCUAUUUUUAAUAUAGUUUUUAAAAUGAAUUUCCUUUAAGCUUUUAUUGCCUCAUAAAUAUAUAAAUGAAAUACACAUUAGGAAAAUUUCACGAGUAUCUUUUUAAAUAUUUUCUACAGAAUCAAGCCGUUUUUCGUGUUUUGGCUGCAAACUCAGUAAAAUGGAUCCUGCAGGCCACAUUCGAACUUGACAAUGUCCUUGAACUUGGACCUUGAAAUUGAUCUUGAAAAAGUGAGUUUCAACCUGAGCUUCGAAGUUAAUGCACCCCCGAUUUAUUCAUGAAUUGUGCUAAAGAAAAACAAAAAACAAAGCAGUUGAAUGUGAAUGUUAAAAUAAGGUCUUCAAGGUCAUUUGAGCCACAAAUACUGGCUGACUGAUGUAGGUUAUUUACACACAUUUUUUUGUGUGUGUGUACAAGGUAAAUAUAUAGUACGUAUCACGUAUUCUACACAGUACUGUUCUUUAUAUAAAUGCGGUUUUGAAUCCAGUCAAUAUCAUCAACAUUUUUGCUGUUGGACAUUAUGUUCAUGGCUCUUUCAUUUUGUGUUUAAUGCCACAUCAGUUAAGAUUCUUUCUGUUUGAAAAAAACACAAACAAAAUGUGCAAACAAAACUAGUGAGUUCGGUAAUCACAUGAUCAGUAAUCUAACUAAGUACUUGAGCUACAUUUGCUUAAUAGCUUCAUUACUCAAAUCAAAACUGAAUCCUCAACUGAAAUUGAAUUAAAUGGUGGACACAAGCUGUCAAUUUCAAUAUGUUGAAAUUUAAAGUCAAUAUUUACUGCGAGCUUGGGUGAAAUGUGUGAAUGAUUUUGGAUCAGGUUCUAAAUCUCGGUCCACGUCUUUUAUUCUGUUUUAUAGCUUUACACUCACAGAUGGGAUUUUCACGCCCGUGCUGUUAUUGAAUUACUUCACUCAUCAAGUUCACUUUGAAUUGUCAUUUCUGCGCAGUUUUCUAUCUUCGUUGUUUCAAUCAGAUAUUCACCAUCACAACUAUUAGUUGUAAUUUCACAAAUUAGACGGCACAUUAGGGGAUUUGACUGUGCACCAAGUGGUGGAGUGUAAUUUACAGACAUCUGGGAUUUAAAACUAACCUGCAGCCCAUUUAGCCUUUUUAAUUAACCAACCAACAAACAAACAGAGCAGCUAAACAACAAAACAUUUGCUUACUUGAGUGAACCUCUUCCUGAUAGAUAUGUGCAUGGCAAUGACUAUAGCUUCUAUUGACUGGUGACCUGCUCACGGUGUUCUGGCUCUCACCCUUUACAGUUGGGAAAGGCAGUGAAUGAAUGAAGACUGUUGAACUGCAGAUAACAAAGGCGACAACUUCCCUCCCUGCAUGAUCUGAAAAAUACAGUCAAAGGUCAAACAUGUAUGCACAUUAUUUUGCUUUGCUUUUUUUAUUGACCAGAUGUGAGGUGACAGUUUUUGGUUGGUUGGGAGUUAAGAGAGCCCAGGCGGUUUGGGACACGAGCAGAGCAGAGACAGUGUGGGACCAAGAAAAAGGAUGGAAGGAAGAUAACCAAUGAGGCUUGAGGAUGUGUUUUCUAGAAAGUACUUGAGGAGCAUUGAUGUGUCGAGGGAGGGUGACCAUUGUGGGUUGUGAUGGAGGACUUGCCCUAAGAACUGAGCCUUAGUCAUAAUGGUUACUCCACUGUUUUACCAUCUAAUGUGACUUCGAUAUAGACACAUGUAUUUAUCAUCUUUGACAUAGUGUUGGGUUUAGAUCCUGGUUCCCCCAGAUUGGACACUUUGAAGAGCCAGUUCAAGAAAUACUAAUUGUUUUACAUAUUUAAGAUAUGAGGAACAUAUGCAUCACAUCAUUACAUGCUGUUUGGGAAUUUAUUUUAAAUGUGCUGAGGCAGUGAAUGAAUGAUGACGUUCCACUGCUAUGGCCUCUGACCCUGAAGCCACUGAGCUUGUUCCCAUUUGGGAAACAAUACUUAAAUGAACUUCAAGAAGAGAUCCAGAGAUCUUCCUGCUCGGGUACAUUUCUCCUGAGGGGGAGAGAGCUGAACAGGCAGGCCGGGAGAGCUAAUCUCUCCUGAUAGUCCUCCAUGGACCCCCUUUGAGUUGGACAGAACUAGAGCAGCUCACUCUGUGCUACCGUCUCAGCCUUUCAUUUGGAGCAGCGGCUAAAGUGUCUUGUCUCUUCCACCGUCCUCUCUUGGUCACAACCUUCAGAAAGAUUGGAUUAGGAUUAUUAAACGUACCCUGUGAUAAACUGUGUUCGAGGGGGUCUCUCACCGAAGCAGCUGAGAUGGGCUCCAGCCUCCCGCAACUCCAGCUAAGCUUAACGUUAUCAUACUGAAACUGGACCUCAAACCUGAGACACAUUAGCUCCCCCUCCUCCUUAAGAAGAGGAGCUCUCAGAUUUGGAAGUGCUGAUCCUCAUCCAGUCUCCACCACACUUCCUUAACUGUAGACAGAGAUAAUUCCUAAUUGGAUAUAUUAUUUUUGGUGAUAAGAAAAAAAAAAAUCUGUAAAAUUGAAAUGUUACUGAUGUAUCAGGUUUGUAAAAAUGUCAAAGCGAGACUUGGUAAAAUUGACUUAAGGUGGUUAAAUGAAUUCUACUGACUCGCUGAACGUCGCAUGUAGUUCAGUUAUAUUGAAAUAAAUAUGUAACAGGUACAACAGAAGUACAAUUUAAUUUUGGGGAACCCCAACUAAAUAGAUAAACCGCACCAUACAUCACAAUCACCUUCAUAAGUUGAAGCCUUGAAACACAAUAAAAAUAGCCACAUAUGAAAACAAAAUCACAUGUCUGACACCACUAUUUACUGAAUCAGAACAACCUUUCAUGAAACAGAGUUGUGGUUACACUCAUUUUAUUUAGUUAAAACUAAAGAAAGUGAAUUUAAACUUAAACUUAGAUUUAAGUCAUUAAAAAGAUUGAAACUUUAGUGAAAUAAUCCUGAAAUCCUGUUUCAAAAAGUACUUAAAAGUGUGGAGUUUUGCAUCGAACGUGGCAUUAAACUUCUACAGGUAUUUGAAAAGAAUGUGAUGUGAAGUGAUGCUAGUAGACACGACUCGGUGUAACGUCUCCCUCCAUGGAAUCUAUUAGUCCCUGCUGACCCUGCUGAAUACUGAGGAGUUGGCGGCCAUUUUUAUUCUCAGUGUGUUAAUCAGGACGUCAGCUGGGAGUGUCACAAGUCAUUUAUCCGGCGAACCACAGCCUCUCCCCGGAGUCGCCGAGCGUGGUCCUAAUGACAUAAUAUUGGUGUGGAGGAGCGUUUCGGGGGGUGACGGAUGAUGUAGACCUUCCUGCAGAUGUCCCGCACAACUCCUGCGUCCUGAGUCAAGGUGAAGGUGUUUUUCUCAGAUGGACCAAACUAUUUUUAUUACCGAGAAGCAAUCCAUCUGUUUGUAUUUGGCACGGAUAACAGAUUUUUUUCAUUCCGUUUCCAACACAUCUGUUAUUUGUUGACUUUUAUACUGACAAUGUUGAGAACUGACAUGUUAGUUUUGUGUAUUCGUUUGAGUCAGUAUGACACAGCCUCCCAAAAAAGAUUUUUUCCCCCUCAUCAUUUCAUGAUCAUACUUCAGAUACAUUUUCACAUUUUAAGGGUGUCUGAAGACUUUUUUCUGCCGCUGCAGCCGCCAGGUCUCUUCACGCUGUGAUCGGUUGAUGCUCAGUCUGGUGACACCUCAUUGGUUAAACUGCAUGUGCUUGAGUGUUUGAAACAACCUGCGCCACCACAGCCCUUUGAGGGCUGGUUUGCACAUCCCUGGUCGAGUGCGAAUGAACAGGGGAUGAAAGAGUGAGGCCCGACACAGAUAUGGUCUGAGAGCAAGUGAGGAUUGGUUCAGUGAUUGUUCUCAUUUUGAGCAAUUGUUCUUUUGUAAACCUCAGCUGGUCCUAAAAAUCCCUCAUAAUUUUUCACCACUUCAAAGUCAAUUUAGUGAAUUUAGUGAUAACCAAUGGACCUACUUCCAUUUAAUGCUUGUAUUUCAAUAUUUAAAUAAGAGAUAUAUUGGAACUCGUCCAGUGGUACAAACUACCUACAAACACAUCUCUUUACACACAUUGUGUCCCAUGUUUAUUUGCUCCAUCUGAAGUUCCUUUAUUAUUGCCUUCAUUUGAAUAUUAACAACGUAGUCUCAUUUAAUUUGAAUUCUUCAGUGGGCAGAAUGGCAUGGAAGCUCGAAUCCUUUUACAAAUGAAUGAGGAGAUUUGUCUUCCGGAUGGUUUGCCAUCACUUUUCUGACCCAUUUCUUCACCUCUGGUGUCGCUCUCUUCCUAUUUGGAAGACAACACAUCGUUUUGUUCUUCACCAGUCUACUUUGACUCAGCUACACUGCUAUGUUUGGAGAGCAGCAACCUCAACAGGUCACUCUAGCAACACAGCACUGGUAUACGCUGACAGCCAUGCACUCACUCUCAACACUGACAAGUCUUCAUUCAACCUUUUGUAUGUUUUUGGACGUCUAAGGACAUAUUGAAAUGACAAAAAGACUACUAUGAAACAUUUGACAAAGGCCUCUGCUAGUUCUUUAGUCCGGACAGAUUCCCUGGUCCCUGAACCUGUGAAGCAAAGCGAUAUUCCAGAUAAAAGCUCCGCUGCGCCCACUCCACUUUCCUUUUCCAACGCUCAUAUAUUUCUCCGGCUCUCUGGCUCGUGCUGUUGCCAAGGCAAUUUAGUCAGAGAGAAAAAUUGCUGGAUCAGCAGAAAUUGUUCCACUCGGAGUUGGACGCGUUGAAAGGUUUCGCCUGCAACUGUGCGACUAUCAGAAUAUUCUUAAUCGUUCUGUGCUCCUCCCACUCUGUUUGUGUUGUGCUCAGCUAAGUGAUGGUGUGGCUUGCUUUGGAGGUCCACCAAAGGGGCUUUAAGCAAUAGACCUAACAAACAAUAGUUUGUCGGGAGACAAAUGUGACGAUACCUACCUCAUGUACAAACACCCUGUUGUUGUAUAGAACUGAAAACACUAUUUCAAGAUUAAGUGAACCCCAUCUAUACAUUUACCAUGAUAUACCCAUCGAGGAUCAAGCGCUGCAGAACCAAUGGGUGAGGUUGCACCAGGUCCAACCUCGCCCCCAGGUCCAACCAUGCAGCGUAUGAAACCUGCAUAUCUGGCACUCAUCCCAUUGAGUUACCAUGUGCUGUAUGUUCCAUUUGGUUACGUACAUGAAUUAAGUUUAAAAUCUUGUUAUGAACUUGCCGUAGCUCUGCCACAGCAAGUCCAAGACCCCCAACCAACAUGUCUUGAUCAUCCCAGUCACACCACUUCGUAUCAUUGUUUACCACAGCCAUGAACCUCAUUGUUUAUCUCUAUCUUUGCCUCAAAACAUCUCACUAUUGAAACUAUUAAAACUCAUCUCAAGGGUCACUUUCACUUUCCACUCCUUGAACAAUGCUUGUGACCUGCGAAGAUGAAGAUACAGUACAAUGCGCUGCACCAAACAAACUAGACACAGGUUUAAACCUCUGUUUAAGAGUAUGUAUUUGUAAAACCACUCCCACUUGUCACAAAUAUGCUCUUCAAGUCAUUCCUUGAACGUACAUGAGCCAAAAUGAUGGUCUAGCUGCCUUGAUUCUACCUGAAAGUCAAAUACUUAAGCUCAGUAUCACAGUGGCAACCUGUUGUAUCUGGUUUAAUUCAAUUUUACUGUGAGCUAUUCUCAUCGCUCCCUCGUUGGGACUCCGGUUUUGAAGGAGCGACUGUUCCACCACCUGUUGGGACUGGGCCAUGGUUUCGGCUUGACGUCUCUCAGAGGUUAUGGUGACCUUAAAUGGUUUCUUUCCGUGUGAAUAAAGUUGAGUUUCUGGUGUUUCACUGAACUCUCCACCUCAUCUCUCAGGGAAACCCAAGCCAACCUAUUGAGGAGCUCUUCUGGGACUCCUAAAUGGUUUAUAGAUGUUGUAAAGUCAAUUUCGUAAGUAUUACAACAUGAGGACCAAAACAGAGUAGUGGAAGUUCCCCUGCUUUCACGUCAUCCCCAGUUUGACAUUGAUAUUUUGCCAACAUCUCCGAGUGGCACCAGGGGUUUUGCACACUCGACACGAGGUGUGGUGGUUCCCUAUAUUCUGUACUCCCUGAAUUGCUUCACUUGGCUCAAUGGCCGUCCUGCCUGAGCCUAUUUUACCCUUAACAUUGUGUCAUAUGCAGCUCCUCCUUUACGACACGCUGUCUUGUGUUCUCAUUAGAGCUUUUGGUUCCAACUUCUCAAGCAGUUUUGACAACCUACUGGCUAUUGUUCUUAUUCACUCCUGUUUGGCUUGAUGGGUUGCGGCCCAAACAGAAUAACAGUGAUUUAUAACAGCGCUUAUUCCUUUAUACCAUCAGCUGUUUCGCAGCUGUAACUGUUGCGGCACAUCAUGGGAAUUGCAGACCUUUUAUGUGACUGGGCAACUUCUUUUUAAGGUGGUCCAACCAGCCAAGAUGAAACCCCUCGUCUAUACGCUGUUAUUUCAGUGCGUACAGCAGAGUUAGAAUACAUGUUGUAUGUACUUUCAGCGCCAUAUACUUGCUCUGGCUUUAUGAGUCAUCGGCGUACUGUACUGGCUUUCAUACACACACAGAGUGCAGUGAGUGCACAGCUCAGACAUGAAUCCCUCGGUGGGCCGGAGGGAUUGGGUUACACAGUACACAUGUGCUGGCACUGGGCCAAGGGGCUGCACUGUGAUUAUAAAUGUUCUAAACAAUAUAUGAAGUCCCCCCUGCCCGGCAAGGCCACGUCGCGUGCUACAAUUAGCGUCCUUGUGCUGAAUUAUCACCCGUCAGCUGCAGCCGCUGCUGAAUGGGGCUCUUUGAUUGGCAGGGACUUCUUUAGCAGAUUAGCCCCCCUCACCAGCCUCCCACACUAACGUUACAACACCUGCUUCUACAUUUAACCCGAAAAAGGUCAACACGUUUGGCCGCAACCAGGGAUGGGGAAAAAUACAAAAUUCAGUUGAUCAUGAAGACUCAAAAUUUGGGGAUGGAGAGCAGACAGAGAGAGCAAUUUACGAGCUAAAAACGUCUGUCUUCUUGACUCUCGUGGACUUUCAAAGGCUUCCCUUAGGAUAAAGUAUUGUGUGAAGCUUUUGAAAUGUUCAAUGUUGGCACUAUGGUAACAUGACGUGUCUGUGAACGCGAUUUAGGGUUGACACUUCAGCUGCAGGUCAACGUGUCUGUUACCAGAGUUGUGCUGUUCCCCGUCAGUUACAGCAGAGGCAGGUCACAGUCAUGGAUCCGCCGGUUAAGGUAGUAUGGACAUCGAUAUCGGAAGGUUUGCUGAGCAUAACAAUAGCUGACGACGAAAUCAAUUUUGUCUGCAUGACUGUAUGACCCAGCAUUCAUACGAAUAUCACCGGGGUUUACCUUUGCUCUCUCUGUGAUUGGAAGCAUCUUCCUCUGGUGCUUGGGUUCAGGGCCAGAACCUUCAUAUGAUGCAUACCAUUGAACUGUCUUUGUAGGCCUUAGAACAAAUGACUAUUACGCUGAGGUGUGACUCUGCUGUCAUUGUCUCAUCUGGCCACAGAAUCCCAUGAUAGUCUUGCAUAUACAAGCUAGAAAAAAACUGUGGUCUCAAUUGUCCCAAGAAUUGCUCCACUCAGAGUCACUUCUUCUCAGCAUGGAAGUCCUACAGACUCGGCAGGUUGAGUUGAUGGCUUCCAACCAGGAUGUGGCAUGUUAGCCCAUCACUCCGACCGCCGCUGAUGAUGAAUUUCCCAUCCCACUCGACCGUCCUUGUUGUUGUAUUUCAUUACAGUCGCCAACAUCACAUUGCUUCUGACAUCGCACGCCCACACUGGGGCGAUGUCAAACGCUUCCCCUGAUCGAGCCCCUCAACGUGCCCUCGUACGUGUGAACAGGAACAUACUGCGCCGCAUGUGCAGAUGAUCGCUUAUGUUCACAAGUACAUGAACACACUUCACCCACGCGCAUGACACCAGGAGGCUUUUAGUAGCGUUGCCAAAACUGUGUGUGCAAGUGGGUUAUCGUGGACAGGGCCAUAGCCGCGCUGGAGCUGGUCCGUCGGUGUGGGGCGAUCGCGGAGGCGAGGAGCCGCUGAAGAGGGUGCGGGGGGUUUCAUGUUCCACUAAUGAGUUUACUUGACCAGGCAAGUCCGUGGGUUGUGCUGAUUAGUGAACAGAACAGAGUUGAGGAGCUGUCACUGCUGUUGCUGCUUCAUGUCAACGCCCACAGACGCUUAUUUUUUUCCCCUUGCUAAAUUGUACCUCGAAGAAGGAUGUUUCAUCCAUAAUACAAUACAAUGAUUGUGUUUGCGAAGUUGUGGCUGCUUGUGGAAACGACUGUCUCUCAAGUGCCGCAAACAUUUUGCCAAAGACACAGAAUACGACAGCAGUGUUUGUGAAUUCAUGACCAAAUAGGAGUUCUGUUUUGCUGCUUUUCCGUCGCUCAUUAUUGAUCCAAUCGUGUAUCGCUUUGCAAAUGGGUACGUCGCCAUUUCUGCUGUGGUUACAAGCAGCGAUUAUGCCAGUUAAUAGGCACAAUCUACUCCAGCGUGCAGCCCUAACCCAAGCCCCACUCUCUGUAAGAAACCCUAAAUGUAACCUCAAUGUUGAAACCAGGAUUGGUGGCGUAUGUAACUGGUCUGUGAACCUGGUUCUGGUUUGCGUAAAUAAGCCAUGCUCACUCCCAUGGCCAGCCAUUGACACGUUGUUACAUGAAGAACGAAAGGAGUGCCAUCCCAUGCCUCACCUAACACCAGCCUCCAUCUUUCUUUCACGUGACGCGCGGUCUACGGCGUCAGUAUAGGACGCAAAAGUCCAGGUUGAUGUAUUACGCCAUGGAAGUGAGGAUGUGAAAACAGGUAUGCCCAUUUGUGGCGGCAGCUGGAUGAUACUGGCUUUAGUCAUACUGUUUGUUAGCACCAGUAUUGACGCUAGCUAACAAUUCCCACUUCCAAGGGUUCCACGAUGUAGCAAAAUGUUCAUCAGGGAACUAGAAGCCAACUACCAAGGCAAACGGAGCUUUACAAUGUAGGGAUAAAUAACUCGCGUCGGCUACAGUGCCGCUCUCUUCAGCCUGAGUUUGGGUUGGAUGUUUGUACUGAAGGCGUUGUCAUACGUUUGAGCUUCUGGGGUUAGGUUGACAAAUGAGAUUAAAUGAAUGCAAACCUGUUUAACCUUUGAAUGCUAAUGCCGCACCGUCGUGGUGUUGGAGCAGCUUCUGCGCUGGAGGAGCUGAGAACUGUAUGUAUUGACUUUUGUUUCACAGUGGUGGUGUGUGGAAUAUUUAAGUCGUCCAAGAAAGCAAGCUCUGGUCUCAGUUGUUCAUAACACUCGCUCAUUUCUCUCCUUCUCGUAGGGGGGAAGUUCUGCCGCGGACAUAAACAAGUGACAUCAUUUCUGCUGUCAAAUGUUUGCCGUGAACUUACAGCCCCAAGCAGAGUGUUGCUGAGCCCAAGCUCCGCCCCCUUUACAGCACCUGAGCAGGUGAGAGCUUCAACAGCUGCACUGUCACAACACCAGCCGCCACUCCAGCACAGUUCACAUCAUGCUUGAAAUGUCUUAGUCAAAAUGAAGAGAAAAGGUUUCAAAAGAAAAAAAACGUUUUUGUUUAAAAAACUGCUGAGUAAUGGUUAAAGUGACAGCGAGUUUAACGCAGUUCACGUUUGCAUAUUAAAAUACGCCGGUGCUAUUUGUUUAUGAACUCGCUCACCUUGUGUCGUCAUUUGAACUUGAACCCGUCGACCUGACUGUCUCUGAGCACACACACGGACGGGGGCGGGAGUGUGUGUGUGUGUGUGUGUGUGUGCGCUCAGUGUGUGAAUCCUCACCAGUGUUUUGUGUUCAUGGAGGUGUGUCAGCGACGCUUCUCUGCGCGAGCCGGAGCCUGGAGGGACUUUUCUCUGACUGUCCUUUGGGGUGAGGUAGUAGGUUGUAUAGUUUUAGGGUUCCACCCUUCCUGUCAGAUAACUAUACAACUUACUGUCUUUCCUGAAGUGACUGUAAUGUCGUCGCUCACCUGCGUGGGAGCCUUCGGACCCGACGCCACCGUCUUGUCUUUCCGUGGCUACCGCAUUUGUCACCUGAAGUUAGCGCUGUAUUGUCUGAAUCGGUUUGAUGCUUUCAAGUGUAUUGUUUUCCUUUUUAUUUUAGCGGCUAAAUAUCGUCCACAGGGACAUCUAGUGGUUCUUUUUAUUAUUGCAUGUUUAUUAAGAAACUCUUGGGAGACUUUUCGAUAAAGGGAAUAUGUUAAGGAAACGUAAAAUACUUCCAUAUUCAGCAGAAAUUUAUGUCACAUUGAAAGUAUAGGCAAAGAUUUAUUAGCUUCUACUUUAAAAUGCUACGACUAAUAAGGAAUAUAUUGCUUUCCUCAGAAACAAUGUUAUUAAAUAUUAAAAUUAAAUCACAAAAUUGAUUUUUUUUUUUUAGCCUCAGUUUCAAUUGAAAUUCAAAAGUUAAAUCGCUGGUAGAUAUAUUUCUAUUUAAGAUAUCGGCUGAAUAUAUGUAGUGCGGUAAGAGGAAAAGAUGCAUUGAUGUUUUGGAGCUGAAGUAAUUUAUUUAUGAUUUAAUAUACUUGAUCUUUGCAUGAAAUAAAAAAAAAUCUUCAAAUAAUGCAGACCCUUUGGGGUGAAUGAGACUUAAAAUACAUUCAUUAAAACUGGCAAAAUUUCUAAUUUUAUUUUAAACAAUAACAUUUGAAGAAACAAAAUAAUACUGAAAAUAAAAAUCAAUCACGAGAGAACAGCCUUACUUUUCUGACUUCCUCUUGGAAAAUAUUGGUUUGUUUCGUCUAUUUAAUGUCUGUUUUUGACUGUGUUGCAUUCACUCAAACAAUCAGAACCAUGUUGAGUUUUCAAUGUAAAACCUGCACUGUGGCGCUUGACUGUGAGCAUCCAGCAGGGGGCGUGUGUGGUGCUCGUACGGAGUGAGGUAGUAGGUUGUGUGGUUUAAGGGUAGUGAUUUUGCCCAAUCAGGAGAUAACUAUACAACCUACUGCCUUCCCCGAAGGGCAGCAAAACUUCGUCUGGUCGCAGGUCAGCGGGCGUCAGCAGCCAGCCUGUUGACUCGAACCCAUCGUCUGCCUGCGCCGAGGACGUCAUGCUGGUAAGGUGUCUUAAAAGUGCUGCGUCAAAGACAAAUAAAAACCUAAAAAUCAAAAUGGUGGUCCUCGGGUCGUUCUUCCAGAGAACUGUGGUCGUCGAGUGUACUGACAUCUAGUGGCCAAGGGCCAAAGUAAGUUACGACUUGUUCAAUGUACGCAGUCUGUUACGGUUAAAACGUGGUGUUGGUACUGGAUUUCCUCCUUCCGACUUUCACAUCACCUGACGUCCAGGCUUCUACAGUAACGUCCGCAGACUACGACUCAAACGUUUCAGGUCGGAUCACGCUUUGCACCAUUUAUGUCAUUACUCUCUCGCCUUUUUGUACUCCUGGCGAAACCGCUAGCACGUUUACGUCCAGU